ACGAGUUAUAAACUCCUUAAAACCCACUGUGAACAUACCCUUUUGUUGCCUCGGCAGGCUGUGCUUACCCUGUAGCUGUUACCCUGUAGUGCUUACCCUGUACUUACCCUGUAAUAGCUACCCGGUAGACACGCUGAACGGCCUGCCGGUGGUCUUCCAAACUCUUGCUAGUUAUCGUGGAACUCUGAUUUAAACGUAACAAUAAGUUA
This 209-nucleotide unclassified non-coding RNA is filed under the name uncultured Xylariaceae. RNAcentral's name for it is "sequence contains ITS1". Lineage: Eukaryota; Fungi; Ascomycota; Sordariomycetes; Xylariales; Xylariaceae. The record is from RNAcentral.